UAGUGUAGUCUUCAAGGGGCAGACUGAAAUUAAGUACCAUUCUCUCAAAAGCUACAGGCAUUUUCAGAGGAAAACAAUUCCUUCUAGAGAUCUGAAGUGAGCUGCUUUGAGUAUUGAUGAUGCUGAGAACUGCAUAAUAUGCUUACCUUUGGAUGAAGUUCUAUGCUGUAAGUGACAGCUCAUCUUGGUUGUCUCUGUUAAGCAAUGUCCAACAGAAUGAUGAAAACCUACCUGCAUAAUACUGAGAUGAUAUGGAAGGAUCCAGAGGACCCUCCCGCCUAGACUCUCCAGGGUUCCUCCCUGCCCUGAUCCCAAGGCUCCAAUUCAAACUAGUGCCAUUACCACUACUUCAGCAACGCCCUAGUGCCAUUCAGCAAUGCCAGUCUCCAGACUCCACAUCUGUCUCUUCCUGAAGGGUCAGGACCUGCCCUGGCUCAUUGCCCUCUAAAAAUGUCAGGGCUGUUGAUGGUCUUGCUGCUGGCCCUUAGCUCUGUCCCCUGCGCUCAGACCGGCAGGAUGGUGGCUGUCUGUGUGGGCAUCACCAGCCCUAGUACCCUCCCAGCACCCAGCUCCCCAGACCAAAGUGGCCGCUGGCUCUCACUGCUUCCUGAGGAUUAAUUUUUUU
This is a non-coding RNA of Zonotrichia albicollis (white-throated sparrow), 625 nucleotides long. The record is from RefSeq and is a predicted model, not a curated record. NCBI's taxonomy places the organism in Eukaryota, Metazoa, Chordata, Aves, Passeriformes, Passerellidae.